UACGUAGGCAGCAAGCGUUGUUCGGAAUUACUGGGCGUAAAGAGUGUGUAGGCGGUUCUCUAUGUUCGGUGUGAAAUCUCCCGGCUUAACUGGGAGGGUGCGCCGAAAACUGGAGGGCUUGAGUAUGGGAGAGGAAAGCGGAAUUCCUGGUGUAGCGGUGAAAUGCGUAGAUAUCGGGAGGAACACCUGUGGCGAAAGCGGCUCACUGGACCAUUACUGACGCUGAUGCACGAAAGCUAGGGGAGCAAACAG
RNAcentral lists this ribosomal RNA (252 nucleotides) under uncultured bacterium. RNAcentral's name for it is "partial 16S ribosomal RNA". It matches the Rfam family "Bacterial small subunit ribosomal RNA", at positions 524 to 775 of the family's 1533-position model. The record is from RNAcentral.